This 253-nucleotide ribosomal RNA is filed under the name uncultured bacterium. RNAcentral describes it as "partial 16S ribosomal RNA". It matches the Rfam family "Bacterial small subunit ribosomal RNA", at positions 524 to 776 of the family's 1533-position model. The record is from RNAcentral.
UACGGAGGGAGCUAGCGUUGUUCGGAAUUACUGGGCGUAAAGCGCACGUAGGCGGCUUUGUAAGUUAGGAGUGAAAGCCCGGGGCUCAACUCCGGAAUUGCCUUUAAGACUGCAUCGCUUGAAUCCGGGAGAGGUGAGUGGAAUUCCGAGUGUAGAGGUGAAAUUCGUAGAUAUUCGGCGGAACACCAGUGGCGAAGGCGACUCACUGGCCCGAUACUGACGCUGAUGCGCGAAAGCGUGGGGAGCAAACAGG